GCACAGUACUAAAUGCUGUUACCGAAAUGGAGGCGCUCCUACCUGGGAUGGUUCCAGUCUAUGAAAAUCACAGUAAUGUUGUGACAAGCGUCAUGGUGGUCACUUGCACUACGAUCGUGGCUAGGGCUGUGGUGUCCUCUUUGUCAGCCAAGUAUUAGUGCGCCACCCGGUUCUUCGACGAGAGACGGUGCUGUUCAUGAUGAGUUCACUUCCUAUCUGUGGGGACUUAGUACAAGUGCAUGUAAAAUGCAAUAGAAGUGUGGUUAUGAAUUUCACUAUUUUAUGAGUGUUUGGUUCAACAGUUCUGUUAUUUGGGACACAAAUCUGACCGGCAACAACCUCACCCAUAAAAAUGAAAAAGAACCAGUUCCAGAUGGACGCCAUGGAAGUUCACUGGUUAGUUAAAUCACCUCUUGGGACAGUUCCUUUCUUCCUCUGUAUGUAUCUGAUAUAGAGAUAGAGGUUGAUCCUUGUACGGAAGAAAGGUAGUUCACAUUGUUUACCACUGUGAGUUCACUUGAUAUUUUCUUGGAGUUCAUUUUUUGACUGACGCUUUAGUUCAAAAGCGAAACAGAGAAGAUACAUUUCUUUGAAGUUCACCUUUGUGUCUAUGAAAAGUUCGGUUUUAAACUACUAGAAUGUUCCCCUUUUUUGAAUAAAUAAAUGAUCUUUUGUUUGGAAGA
Molecule: non-coding RNA, 683 nt
Organism: Lolium perenne
Lineage: Eukaryota; Viridiplantae; Streptophyta; Magnoliopsida; Poales; Poaceae
Source: RefSeq, a predicted model, not a curated record